AUCCCAUGAUGAGGCAGGCGUGAAUGUACUAAUUGAGACGUUCCCAUGCUUCAGGAAUCGUCUCAUCAGACUAUUGCUGGAAGCUCGAAAUCUUCCCACGUAGGGC
Molecule: small nucleolar RNA, 106 nt
Filed under: Sorghum bicolor (sorghum)
Lineage: Eukaryota; Viridiplantae; Streptophyta; Magnoliopsida; Poales; Poaceae
Description: Plant small nucleolar RNA R71
Rfam family: Plant small nucleolar RNA R71
About the family: R71 is a member of the C/D box family of snoRNAs containing the C (UGAUGA) and D (CUGA) box motifs. Multiple nearly identical copies of this snoRNA have been identified in Arabidopsis, and it is thought to function as a 2'-O-ribose methylation guide for 18S ribosomal RNA.
Source: Rfam by way of RNAcentral